GAAAGAGAGAGAACUGCAAUGCUCGUAUCAAUGUCCAAACUUGGCAGCAUGCAAGCUAACCACUACCAUUUCAAGCCACUUUACUUCAUUGCUUUCAGUUUCCUUUGAUAUUAGAAAUUGCAACAAUAUUGAAACUGAAAUGCAAACGAUAAUAUUGAUAUUAGAAAUUUGUUGUUACAGAGGACGUCUUGUUUAAUAUUUACUAAUAGGAAAAUUUCAAUGUGGGGUAUUCCUUAGUGCCUAACAUGUGCUUGAAUUCCCUGAUAUUUGUUGGAAAUGCUAACUUUUUAUGUUGUUUCAUGCCUGUUAUGUUUAGAAUGUUUGAAUGGGUGGGAUAAGAUAGUUUACUUUGAUUGUUUCCUGAACAGUUUUCCAUCUUACUCAACGUGUGGCAACAAAAUUUCAUACAUUAUUUUCAUUGGUCUUCAACAAGACGUGCGUUGCACCUUUCUGCUGCAUCAACUCCAUUGCUUAGUGGGAUCAAGGUAGUUUCUUACAGCAGGCUUUACCUUCAUUACUAAGGAAUCGUAGAUGUAAUUCUGUGCCUCAAGCAUCAAAGGAUCUUCAAUACAGUUUUCACUAUCUUCCAUGAUUGACAAGCCCAGACGGUGGUGGAGGGCUUUAGCAUGCCUUGCUAAGGAAAGAAUGACCUCACUUUUUUUGAUUUCAUGUGUUGAUGGGCGUGUUACUGGGGAUUCCCUUGCAGGUAUGCCACUUGGACUCUAUCGGGGUAAGUUCAGAAUGCAAUUUUGGGAGACCUAAGCCAUUUGCUUAUCUCUUUACUGUUUUGGAUGUGCACUUGCUGGUAUGUACGCUGACAUUCUACUUGUUUAUGAAAUUCUGAUGCUGCACAUAUCCAUAUUCAGUAUAAUUAAAGGAAAACUGAGAGCUCAAACUUUUCUAUAUUUCCAUCAUGUGUUGUUUCUUUUCCAUGGGAAACUUUCCAAGCAGAUAUGAAUGUUUUAGGUUGAAUAUUGCCUUGGGUCGGCUUUUGUAAUAUAUAGGAAUCUUUUAAGUUUUAUCUGGUGUUGGAUAUCCAUCCAAGCACCUUGUCCCUACUUUCCGUCCCCUUACCCUCCAAGUGGGCCUUCAUUCCCCUCCCUUUCUUUAGUUAAUGAUGAUUAUGUGAACACAGUUUUAAGUUUUGGAUAA
Molecule: long non-coding RNA, 1152 nt
Organism: Gossypium raimondii (Peruvian cotton)
Lineage: Eukaryota; Viridiplantae; Streptophyta; Magnoliopsida; Malvales; Malvaceae
Exons: 2
Source: RefSeq, a predicted model, not a curated record